Molecule: ribosomal RNA, 406 nt
Filed under: uncultured Chloroflexota bacterium
Lineage: Bacteria; Bacillati; Chloroflexota
Description: bacterial SSU rRNA
Rfam family: Bacterial small subunit ribosomal RNA
Source: RNAcentral
UUAGGAAUUUUCCGCAAUGGGCGAAAGCCUGACGGAGCGACGCCGCGUGAGUGAUGAAGGCCUUCGGGUUGUAAAGCUCUGUCAGAGGGGAAGAAGUUCUGACGGUACCCUCUGAGGAAGCCCCGGCUAACUACGUGCCAGCAGCCGCGGUAAUACGUAGGGGGCAAGCGUUAUCCGGAUUUACUGGGCGUAAAGCGCGUUCGGGCGGUCGAUAAAGUUAGAGGUGAAAUCUCAAGGCUCAACCUUGAAACUGCCUUUAAUACUUGUCGACUAGAGUAUGAGAAAGGAAAGUAGAAUUCCUGGUGUAGUAGUGAAAUGCGUAGAUAUCAGGAGGAAUACCAGUGGCGAAGGCGGCUUUCUGGCUCAUAACUGACGCUGCCGCGCGAAAGCGUGGGGAGCAAACGGG